This 253-nucleotide ribosomal RNA is filed under the name uncultured bacterium. Its description in RNAcentral is "partial 16S ribosomal RNA". It matches the Rfam family "Bacterial small subunit ribosomal RNA", at positions 524 to 776 of the family's 1533-position model. The record is from RNAcentral.
UACGGAGGGAGCUAGCGUUGUUCGGAAAUACUGGGCGUAAAGCGCACGUAGGCGGCGCAGCAAGUCAGGGGUGAAAUCCCGGGGCUCAACCCCGGAACUGCCUCUGAAACUGCAGUGCUAGAAUCUUGGAGAGGCGAGUGGAAUUCCGAGUGUAGAGGUGAAAUGCGCAGAUAUCGGGAGGAACACCAAUGGCGAAGGCAGCACUCUGGGCCGGUACUGACGCUGAGGAGCGAAAGCGUGGGGAGCAAACAGG